CCUUUAAAAUCUAACAUGAGCUGAGUUCAGAACGGCGUGAGCUAGUUCAGUUUCUAUCCUCUUUUAAAAAUGAGCUAAUUUUGUACGAAAGGACUUUUUCGCUAAAGCAACGCUUUGCCCUGGCUCUGUCAUUGCUUAAAUAAUGCUACGCAAUAAACUGAUUAGUUUAUAAAAAGGGUUG
RNAcentral lists this ribosomal RNA (181 nucleotides) under Mytilus trossulus (common blue mussel). RNAcentral's name for it is "partial 16S ribosomal RNA". Lineage: Eukaryota; Metazoa; Mollusca; Bivalvia; Mytilida; Mytilidae. The record is from RNAcentral.